RNAcentral lists this ribosomal RNA (376 nucleotides) under uncultured bacterium. RNAcentral's name for it is "bacterial SSU rRNA". It matches the Rfam family "Bacterial small subunit ribosomal RNA", at positions 524 to 898 of the family's 1533-position model. The record is from RNAcentral.
UACAGAGGGUGCAAGCGUUGCUCGGAUUUACUGGGCGUAAAGCGUACGCAGACGGAUCGUCAAGUCAGGAGUGAAAGCCCUGGGCUCAACCCAGGAACGGCUUUUGAUACUAGCGGUCUUGAGUUUGGGAGAGGGAAGCGGAAUUCCUGGUGUAGAGGUGAAAUUCGUAGAUAUCAGGAGGAACACCGGCGGCGAAGGCGGCUUCCUGGCCCAAUACUGACGUUCAGGUACGAAAGCGUGGGUAGCAAACAGGAUUAGAUACCCUGGUAGUCCACGCUGUAAACGAUGAGUGCUGGAUGUCGGAGGUAUUCACCCCUUCGGUAUCGAAGCUAACGCGUUAAGCACUCCGCCUGGGGAGUACGGCCGCAAGGUUGAA